Molecule: transfer RNA, 76 nt
Filed under: Blochmannia endosymbiont of Camponotus sp.
Lineage: Bacteria; Pseudomonadati; Pseudomonadota; Gammaproteobacteria; Enterobacterales; Enterobacteriaceae
Description: tRNA-His
Rfam family: tRNA
About the family: Transfer RNA (tRNA) molecules are approximately 80 nucleotides in length. Their secondary structure includes four short double-helical elements and three loops (D, anti-codon, and T loops). Further hydrogen bonds mediate the characteristic L-shaped molecular structure. tRNAs have two regions of fundamental functional importance: the anti-codon, which is responsible for specific mRNA codon recognition, and the 3' end, to which the tRNAs corresponding amino acid is attached (by aminoacyl-tRNA synthetases). tRNAs cope with the degeneracy of the genetic code in two manners: having more than one tRNA (with a specific anti-codon) for a particular amino acid; and 'wobble' base-pairing, i.e. permitting non-standard base-pairing at the 3rd anti-codon position.
Source: RNAcentral
GUGAUUGUAGCUCAGCUGGUAGAGCUCUGGAUUGUGGUUCCAGAAGUCGUGGGUUCGAAUCCCAUCAAUCACCCCA